UUUCCUUGUUUUCUUUUCAUUUCUUUUCUCUUCUUGCUUCAUUCUUCUCCCAACUUCUUGUGCACCAAACUUACAACUUCUAACCCUAAUUUCCAGCACAUAGAAACUCUAGGAGAAGAAGAAAGAAAAAGAGAGAAAGGAAGAAAAAGCUUGGUUUUGGUGAUUCAAGCAGGAACGCAAAGAUUGGCUUGAUUGAAGAAAAAUUGGUAACAUGUAAGCCAAUAAACCCAUGGGUACAUGAAGGACUCAAAGUAGAAAAGGAAAACGGAAGUGCAAAGAUAAGGUUAGAGUAUUGUG
This 297-nucleotide long non-coding RNA is filed under the name Theobroma cacao (cacao). RNAcentral's name for it is "long non-coding RNA (TCAC_LNC005013)". The record is from RNAcentral. Lineage: Eukaryota; Viridiplantae; Streptophyta; Magnoliopsida; Malvales; Malvaceae.